This 612-nucleotide long non-coding RNA is filed under the name Ananas comosus (pineapple). RNAcentral's name for it is "long non-coding RNA (ACOM_LNC010739)". Lineage: Eukaryota; Viridiplantae; Streptophyta; Magnoliopsida; Poales; Bromeliaceae. The record is from RNAcentral.
AAAUAAAUUAAAGGGACAUAUUUAAUGGUGAAAAAUAUAAAAAGCAUCAAAUGAGCAGCCUCACCCUCCUUUUUAGUAUCCAGCAACCACAAAUUAUGAUACACUCUCUCUUGUGUCACUUCUCUCAGUCUCUAAAUGCUUGAUGGACGAAUCUUAUUUAAGGUAUGUUUGGUUCCACGUAAAAUCGUAAAAAAAAAAUUUUCAGUGAAAAAAAUAUUUUACGUCGUUUAUAUUUAAUUUGUAGGAAAAGAAAAGUAAUUUUUCACGACGGUUGUUUGGUUGAAAGAAAAAAAAAUUAUAAAUAAAAAUUAUUAUAUAUAUUUUUUUUAUUUUACAUAUUUUAUAUUGUUAAUAUAUAAUUAUUAUCAUAUUAAAUAUAUUAAUAUUAUAGUUUAUAUUUAAAAAUAAAAAAUAUUUAAAAUAUAAUAUGCAAUAAUUAAAUAUAUAAUAUAAUAUUUAAUAGUAUAUAUUUAAUAUUAUAAAAUAAAUUAAUAGAUAUAAAAUAUUAUAUAAUAAAUAUAUUUAUAAAUAAAAUAUUAUUUUUAAAAUAUAUAUACAUAUAUAAAUAUAUAUUUAUAUAUAUAGUAUAUAUAUUAUAUAUAUAAAAAAAAA